This 433-nucleotide ribosomal RNA is filed under the name uncultured bacterium. RNAcentral's name for it is "partial 16S ribosomal RNA". It matches the Rfam family "Bacterial small subunit ribosomal RNA", at positions 29 to 507 of the family's 1533-position model. The record is from RNAcentral.
AACGAACGCUGGCGGCAUGCCUAACACAUGCAAGUCGAACGAGACCUUCGGGUCUAGUGGCGCACGGGUGCGUAACGCGUGGGAACCUGCCCUUAGGUUCGGAAUAACUCCCCGAAAGGGGUGCUAAUACCGGAUAAUGUCUUCGGACCAAAGAUUUAUCGCCUUUGGAUGGGCCCGCGUUGGAUUAGCUAGUUGGUAGGGUAAAAGCCUACCAAGGCGACGAUCCAUAGCUGGUCUGAGAGGAUGAUCAGCCACACUGGGACUGAGACACGGCCCAGACUCCUACGGGAGGCAGCAGUGGGGAAUAUUGGACAAUGGGCGAAAGCCUGAUCCAGCAAUGCCGCGUGAGUGAUGAAGGCCUUAGGGUUGUAAAGCUCUUUUAACCGGGAUGAUACUGACAGUACCGGGAGAAUAAGCUCCGGCUAACUCCGUG